RNAcentral lists this long non-coding RNA (324 nucleotides) under Amborella trichopoda. RNAcentral describes it as "long non-coding RNA (ATRI_LNC002767)". The record is from RNAcentral. Lineage: Eukaryota; Viridiplantae; Streptophyta; Magnoliopsida; Amborellales; Amborellaceae.
CAGCAGCAACCUCAACAACAAGCACCUUCUUUCUUUCCAAUUGUACAACAGCAGCAACCUCAGCAACAACAACCUUCUCUCUUUCCACUUGCACAGCAACAACAAUCUCAGCAGCAACAACCUUCUCUAUAUCCACCUACGCAGCAACAGCAGCCUCAGCAACAACCACCUUCUCUCUAUCCAUUUGCCCAAAGACAACAGCCUCAACAACAACAAGCUUCUCUCUUUCCAUCUAUACAACAACAGCAACCUCAGCAACAACAAACUUUUCUCUUUCCAGGUGCUGAUAAUCUCUCUACAACUCAACAGCUUAACCAGCCGGUU